AUGUACUUAUGUACGUGUGCACCGGCCAAGGCGGACGCCCUGGUCGCCGUAGGAGAGCGCCUCACGGACUCCGGCCUUCAUUGCUGCAGCCUCCAACGUGGCCUUCACCACGGUCAGCAACCCCGACGUCUUCCGCUGCGCUUUGGCGGUGGACUGCCCACACGAAGAUGCACGGAGGGUGGCGAUGCGUGCAACGGCGGAUGCUUCCUCGGGGACUUGCCAUGGAUGGCGCAGCUCGCCGCCGUGGCCUACAUGGUGGAUGAGCUCCGAGGGUGCUUCGCUGGCAGACAGAUGAAGGAGGUCCGGCGUCGGCUGGUGGAAUACGCUACCAGCGGAGGCACAGCGAUGGCGCCCUCCUCUCCAUGCUCCCCGGCUUCGCAGCUUCAGGUCUAUACUAACGGAGGUGACAGUCCCCGACAACAACGACGUAGGGUGGCAUCCAAUGACGGGGCGCCGGGGAUCUUGGCCGGCAGGAGGUCGAGGAGGGAUGCGGCUAGCGGCGUCGAGCGCGAUGUACGAUUGGACGACACGGGACGCCGGCAGCCUGAACUGGCACGAGCUUGA
Molecule: ribosomal RNA, 564 nt
Filed under: Triticum aestivum (bread wheat)
Lineage: Eukaryota; Viridiplantae; Streptophyta; Magnoliopsida; Poales; Poaceae
Description: partial small subunit ribosomal RNA
Source: RNAcentral